CAGCCGCGUUGUCGGCAAACUGGAACCAAUGAAGAGGAUUUAAUGCGGUACCGUUUUCGCUGGAUUUCCAAAUCCAAGUUGACGGUAUUUUUCCGAUUUAAUAUGUUGGAUAAAGGUAUUGAAAGACAUGUUGAAUAAAAGAGGACUGAGACAAUCGCCUUGAAGGACGCCACGACCGACUGUAAUGAAGGAAGUAUUGAACUGUUCAGUUACUAUGGAAGUUUGGAAAUCAGUAUAAAGGCUACUGACAAGAGAUUCUUUAUGUGAUCGGGAAUGUGGUGAUAUUCAAGGACUUCAUAAAUAAGGUUAUGGUGGACUUUACCGAAUGCAUUUUUGAGAUCUAAUAGUGUUAUGAUAAGUGAUCGUUGUUUUACUUGCGCUUUAUUAAUGAUAUGUGCCAACUGUGCUGUGUGUUCUAGUGUUCCUGAGAGUUUUGGAGUGAAACCUUAUUGUAUGUUCUGUUCAAUGUAAUUGUUUUCAGCAAGAAACUGAAAUGUCCUGUUGCGAAGACAUGAUGUGAAAACUUUGAGUGGGACAGAUUCAAGAGUAAUGGGUCGAAAGUUCGCUGGGUUUGCUGUUUCUCCUUUCUUAUGAAUUAGAAUCGUACAUGCUUUCUUCCAUUCAGAUGGGACAACACCGCAAGACCAGGCUGCGUGGAUUAUCUCAGUUAAGUACGAGCGUAAAUAAGGACACCGUUUAAAACAGAUGAUAGAUAUUUGAUCAAGUGGACAUGGUGAGCCAGACGGUUUCAUUUUACGGAUGACAUUUGUAAUCUCUUGAUAGGUAGGGGGGUCAAGAUUAAAAGGCGUCCAACUGGGGAUGUUGAAUGUUUUAGUUGGGCUAAUCGCGGACAAUGUUUUGGUGAAAUAUGAUGUACAUUGUGCUAGGUUAAAUGAUGGAAAUGAGCUGGUGUUCUUUUAAAAAAUCGUUUAACAAAACCCCAGAGGUUUUUACCAAUUAGACUAUCGUGAUCAAUAUUUGCAGACGCAUGACUAUCAGUGUUAUUGAGGUCCGUAUUAUUAGACUUAUUAAGAAUGUUGCGCAGUUUCUUUGCGACGAACUUGAUCUCCAAAAUAUCUCCGUUUUCUAAUUUUAAUUUUUUUAAUGAUUUUUUCAAAUCUUUAGUUGAAAAGCUUUCAUAUUUUCUUUGGUAUUGAACAUCAUUAUGAUUGUAGACAUAUCCAAAAUUCUCG
RNAcentral lists this long non-coding RNA (1193 nucleotides) under Paramuricea clavata. The record is from RNAcentral. Lineage: Eukaryota; Metazoa; Cnidaria; Anthozoa; Malacalcyonacea; Plexauridae.